This 606-nucleotide ribosomal RNA is filed under the name uncultured bacterium. Its description in RNAcentral is "bacterial SSU rRNA". It matches the Rfam family "Bacterial small subunit ribosomal RNA", at positions 331 to 929 of the family's 1533-position model. The record is from RNAcentral.
CCAGACUCCUACGGGAGGCAGCAGUAGGGAAUCUUCGGCAAUGGACGAAAGUCUGACCGAGCAACGCCGCGUGAGUGAAGAAGGUUUUCGGAUCGUAAGACUCUGUUGGUAGAGAAGAACGUUGGUGAGAGUGGAAAGCUCAUCAAGUGACGGUAACUACCCAGAAAGGGACGGCUAACUACGUGCCAGCAGCCGCGGUAAUACGUAGGUCCCGAGCGUUGUCCGGAUUUAUUGGGCGUAAAGCGAGCGCAGGUGGUUUAUUAAGUCUGGUGUAAAAGGCAGUGGCUCAACCAUUGUAUGCAUUGGAAACUGGUAGACUUGAGUGCAGGAGAGGAGAGUGGAAUUCCAUGUGUAGCGGUGAAGUGCGUAGAUAUAUGGAGGAACACCGGUGGCGAAAGCGGCUCUCUGGCCUGUAACUGACACUGAGGCUCGAAAGCGUGGGGAGCAAACAGGAUUAGAUACCCUGGUGGUCCACGCCGUAAACGAUGAGUGCUAGAUGUAGGGAGCUAUAAGUUCUCUGUAUCGCAGCUAACGCAAUAAGCACUCCGCCUGGGGAGUACGACCGCAAGGUUGAAACUCAAAGGAAUUGACGGGGGCCCGCACAAG